RNAcentral lists this transfer RNA (88 nucleotides) under Clostridia bacterium. RNAcentral describes it as "tRNA-Ser". It matches the Rfam family "tRNA". Rfam says of the family: Transfer RNA (tRNA) molecules are approximately 80 nucleotides in length. The record is from RNAcentral. Lineage: Bacteria; Bacillati; Bacillota; Clostridia.
GGAGGGUUAUCGAAGCGGUCAUAACGAGGUGGUCUUGAAAACCAUUUGUCCUUUGGACACGUGAGUUCGAAUCUCACACCCUCCGCCA